Kluyvera ascorbata ATCC 33433 is the source of this 362-nucleotide non-coding RNA. The record is from Rfam. NCBI's taxonomy places the organism in Bacteria, Pseudomonadati, Pseudomonadota, Gammaproteobacteria, Enterobacterales, Enterobacteriaceae.
GAGUCGCACAAUGAAGUGAACAUUAGGAUGAUGGCACUUCAUAGGACACACCGGGAAGGUGAUUCAAGGAAAGGCUUCAGGAUGAAGCAAAAGGACAACGCAGGAACGCGUUAAAGGACACCUCCAGGACGGAGAAUGAGAGCCAGACAGGAUAUCUGGUGGAUCAGGAAGAUCAGGACACACUCAAGGAUUGGGUGAAAUCACAUCGGGGUGGUGUGAUGCAGGAAGCAACCGUUUAUGGAUGAACAUGGUCAGGAGACCACAGGAAAAGUUGUCACGGAUGAGCAGGGAGCACCAAAAGUAGCUGGAUUGCUGCGAAACGAACCGGGAGCACUGUUUUUACAGUGCUCCCUUUUUUUUGU